RNAcentral lists this long non-coding RNA (4697 nucleotides) under Bemisia tabaci. RNAcentral's name for it is "lncRNA ENSSWEETPG008995". Lineage: Eukaryota; Metazoa; Arthropoda; Insecta; Hemiptera; Aleyrodidae. The record is from RNAcentral.
AUCAAAAAUCUAUUAUUGAACCGAGGUAGGCUCUUUUGAAUUGUGUAUCAUGUGGUGUGAGAGUUGCAUCUUUUGUGAGUGAGUUGAAACAGCAAUUACAGAAAUUUUGUCACGUCAAGAAGUCAUUCCUGACCAAUUAUUCCUAAUUAAGGAUUGACAAUUAAUAUCUGGAUCUUAACUUUAACACGCCCAAUAUUGACAAAGAUAUUAUUAAAAGAAAAAAACAAAAACAACCAAGGAUUGUCGGAAGCCAAGACACAUUUGAGUGUCGAUAAAUCUCGUAUAGAGAGCGUUCAUUAAUUACAUAAUACAGUGUUCAUUAAAUCUAAAGGUAGGGAGAUUCAGUACCAGCGUUAAGUGACACUCUCUAUCGGUAAGAACACACGCAAAAUCCAAAAUGUAUCUUCCCCAUUUCUUUGACGAUAUAUGUAACUAUAUCGUUAAAAUACUACAAAUUGUAUCCAGCCAUUUAUUCAAACUGUGCCAAAGUACCGUUUUUAAAGCGGCAAGCUCAAAAAGAAUGCAAAUUCCUAAUGCAGAUUGUUAAAAUAGGAAUGCAUCUCAGACUUUGCUGAUUUUUGAAACAUCUUCUACUGGGGAAACAACCCUUAUUUUUGCUCUAGCAAAAGAUUGCAACGAGCCUAUUAUUCCAGGUAUUGAACAAAUUGAAGAAAUGUCCAGUUGUUUUAAAAUAAAUCCUAUUUGACCAACAGAAUAAUUUGUUGGAAACAUUCAAUUGAACUUCCAGUCAUUUCAAGAAAAAAAAUAUUUCAAAUAUAAAUCGAAUUUGCAUCAUACCUAUAGGGAGGAGUGAGGCAUUUCUUUUGUGAUCAGUUCAUUUGACUCCAGCAAGCAUAGGGAAAACAUAGGUGAAGAGAACUUUGUCGCGACAUGAUUAUCAUUGCGUGCUGGCCUUAUAUUUGAUAGACAUUUAUACGUUUCAGGAUAUGGCUCUUACUACUCGCGAGUUAUUCUUUGGAUUGGGUGACAGUUUCCUUAACAUUCAGUUUUACUCUUUAAUUGGAUCUCUUCAUCCUACGGAUAGUGCAUCUGGAUUCAGUAUCUUCAAAAUCGUGAGGACUGCUUUCACAGCCGCUAGCUUCUACUAUGGCCGCUACCUACCUUUGCCAACUCUGCUGCUCGUUUUAGCGAUUUUCGGUGCUCUUGGAAUGAUAGCUUUUAACGUACUAAGCGUCACCCAUGAACGGAAAAAAACCCGCAGACAAACAUUAAAGGCUUCGAUUGAAUGUUAUUCAUUUAGAGUCGCGUAUUUUCAGAAACUUAAAAAUUUAAAUUCAAUCUGAAUUCAUCUAAAUGAACAAGAAGCAGUCUCCUACAAGUUCCUAAAUUGAUAUUUUCAUACUGUGCUCUGCGUAUUGAUCUGAUAAAACUGAAUCAAAUUAUUAAAUUAGCAAGACAUUAGGACAAAUAUAUGUCAUCAGCAGAUACUCAAAGAAUGUGCAAAUCGCGGGGAUUUUUUUUUUGUCAUUUGUCUGGCAUCCAGCAGUUGGUUGAGCUAAAUUGGAGACAAAAAACCUCACGUAUACAUUUGUACAUUUUCUACAGCACAAUUAUAAGUUCUCUCUCCUCCUCGAAAUUCCUUCCGUCUAAAUCUUGGCACAAUGAUUUCUCUAGAAAUGCUCAAGAAUUAUCGCCAUGGUCACUCCCGUCAAAGCUUUUUUCCAACACAUCUGCUGUGCUAAGGAAAAAUGCCUUAUGAACAUUCGACAGUUGCCAAAUUUCAUUCGAUAAAAUGUUCAAUGCUGAAGAAAGUUAUGAAUAUUUUUCAUCGAAAUUUCAGUAACCUCAGAUCAAAGUACGAACGUAAUUUUCUGAAAAAUUGGGAGAAAAAUGUUCUUAAAUUUUCCUGGAAAAUCAAGAUUUUGCCGGAGGGAAUUUGGCGACGCCAGAAGGUUCGUAGUGCGUUCUUCUUUAGCACGACAGGCACGCUGUCAAAACUGCCUAUUAUGUAAGUUGUGGUUUUUGCUUGUAUUCAAAAAGAAGGCGCACUUUUCGGGACUGCACAUAAAUCAAUUCUAGGAUUAAAAUGGAGAUUCGGCCACGCUUACUUUAAGGGGCUAAGCCUCUGCAUGGAGUCAAGGAUUCGACCUCCUCCGAAAUCUGCAUGGGCCAAAUACUGCCCUAAGGAGAGAGAAAAGUAGCUCGAGCAUUGUAUUCUGAUACUUGAUUUCAAAAUUUCCAUUCUGAAAUGAUACUGGAUCGAUCCAAAGACCUGAUAGAGCUGAGUGCUUCUCAAAUGUACCCUCGAAUUUUCAUGCACUACCGCUCCCUUCUUUUCCCCUCAAAAUAAUCGGGCAUUUUAACGUGAUUUAGCAGAGGAUUACCUAUCCAAUUUAAAGGUGAUAUAUCACGCACUUAAGAAUCGAAUGAAAUUGACAUUAAGCAAAGUUUGCAGUUUAUAUUUUCAUCACUAUACUAAUUCCCUGAUAAAUCUAUCAGUUUAAACUGAGCUCAUGCGAACAUAUUACACUUCAUGUGUUUCUCUUUCGAGUGAUCAUAAAAGAGGCAGAGAGAAUGAUGCAAAAAAUUAAGUGUCUUGGAAAAUUCUGCUACCUUCCUCUAAAUUUUCAUCGAACUGUUAGUUUGAAGCGUUAAACUUUACUUUUGAUUCAAUACAAGCUAUUUCGUCAUGAUAAGUCAAACAGUCAAUAUAUGUGCUAUCGGAAUCUGUGCGUUCACUCUCAACUCUGGUUACUUUGCUCUGACAGAUAUUCAGGUUCUGUAUCUACAUUUAUACCUGUAAAAAUACACAUGCAUAUCUAUGUUUGAUUUUUUCCCUGAAAUUAUUCUUGUCAUCUCAAAUGGAAUUCUGAAUUUUAAGUAAACUUAAAGUAACAUUACAUCACCGCAUGUGUUUAAUUUUCCGUUCUACCUGUUUUAUCCUUUUCUCGAAUGUUUCAUUCUUGUUACUGUUGAAUAUGAGACUCCUGAAUAUAUGUGGAAUUUGUAUUACUCUGUUCAAAUCAGUUUUCAUAUCGUGAUCAAAUGUUAGUCAUUCUGCACAUACAUUCGUGCAUUUCAAUAUACAGGGUGUUAGAAAAGUCCCCUCCCCCCCCCAUCUAACUUUUUACCUAAUUGAGAUAGAGAUUUGAAACUUGGAGGAUGUUCCUAGGUCAAAAGGACAUUUUGGACCUUACCCGACCGCCAUUUUGAAAAAUUAGGGUUUUUUUUUAAAAAUAUAACAUCAAAUUCGUUUUUUCUCGUGCGAAAAUACCUCCAGAACCCGAGUUUAAAACAAAUCCAUGUGCAAAUAGCCGAGAUGCCAAUUUUCGGCCAUUUGAACUUUAACCGGUCGCCAUUUUGAAACGGCUUAAGAUAAUGACUUCGGGUUUGCGCGGAAAAAUUUAUUUUUUUAUGCUCUUUCGAAAGAGGUAUCACAAAGGGGGUCUUCACAUUUGAAAAAAAAGUUGGGGUCCGUUACCCCCUCAAGGAGGACCUCCAGAAAAUUUUAAGGGGACCAAAAAGUAGCUCCUUUUGACCUAGGAACAUCCUCCAAGUUUCAAAUCUCUAUCUCAAUUAGGUAAAAAGUUAGAUGCGGGGGGGGGGGACUUUUCUAACACCCUGUAUGGAUAACGAUCGCAGCUUCAGGUGCAAAACCACCCAUUCUUUACCAAAUUUGAAUACCUUUGAGUACACAUCCCAGUGGGUAUAUUUUAUUGAUUCCAGAGUUCAAUUUAACGUACCUGAUGAACGGAACAAUAGACGAGUGACAAAGAUGGGGUGUGCUCUAAAAAGCUGCAUAUCAAAAAAUUUAAUAAUGGCACGAUUUCAUUGGGGAAAUGGAAAAGCGGAGUUUUUCGAUCAAACGGAACUAGGCACCAACUGCAUGCGACAGUCAUGAGCCGUGGGCAUGUGACAAGAGCGUUCUGGACAGGGCUCAUUUGUUAAAUUUACCACGGGCGGCGACGGCCGCUGACGUCACUGGCGCCUUAUAAUUCCCAUCCGUUCUUACAGCCGCCGACAAACGAGCACACCACCUUUCUUUCCCAAAUGUCUGUUUGUUCCGUAGUGCGUGGUGUGUUUUGCGAUAUAUCGAUUGAUCUGUCAUUUAAUCCCAUGGAAAAGUACCGAUAAACAGGGUGUUCGCAACGAACGCCUUGUUAAUCGAUUAUUUACCAUAGCUUCGAAUGGGGAAGUAUCGACUUAUCCCAAAGCACGCCACGCCACUACUGCUAAUAACUUGCGGUGCGCUGAUAAUCCGCGCUGAUUUGGAUAAGAACCAGAUGGAAAUCCAACGGGGGGGGGGGGGGGGGGGUCUGAAAUUUUCACCGUUGAGUUCUCAUUGAUUUUUGGUCGGAUCCUCAAAUAACUGUUGAAUGAACCAAAUGGCAUGGCUCUCAUAGAACACCAUACUUACGGUUCAUCUGAUAAUUUUUCCUCUCUUAAAAUAUGUACCUUUAUUCUCCGUAAUAUGCGGUCAAUCAUAGACGCAUCCUUAAACUCCCUUUUUAUAGAAUCAAUGCCGAAUUUGAAACAAUCUUUUACGCUGAAUUUGUUUCUAUUCAAUAUUUUUUACCAAGGUCUUCAUGAGUAGAUCCAAAAAUAACUCGUUACAUCAAAGUUAAAGUUUAAUUUUUACAUGGGAAUCCCACUGUUUCAACUUUGACAGUGCUUUCAAUCAAACGGCAAAAAAAUUCUGUUAUAGGCCUCCUAUCAUCAAAUCUUGUUGCAAUAUC